CAUCACCCUUGUAGGUUCCAAGAGUGGCCUCAGAGUUUGCCUUGCACCUUACCAGGAAUGCUCCCCUGGCCUUCACAACAUUUUCCUCCUUUCCUGACCAGGCCUUGAGAGUGCUCUGCUGAAGUGCACGUCCAAAGGAGAAGGACAGGUUCCAUGGCUUCUUCCCCUUGAGCUUGUUCAUGGCAUUGAGGUUGAGAGUGGCCUCCUCCUCACUCUGCCCCCCAGACAAAAACACAAUAGCAGGAACAGCUGCAGGCACAGUUCGCUGGAGGGUCCGAACAGUGUACUCGGCCACCACCUCUGGGGAAACCUUCUUGGCUUCUGAUCCAGGAGUCACCAUGUUAGGCUUCAACAGAGUUCCCUCAAGCAGAACGUGAUGGUCAUUCAGUGCUUUGUAGCAUGCUGCCAGAACACGUUCAGUUACAUAAGCACACUUUUCAAUAUCAUGAGGGCCAUCCACCAGGAUCUCAGGCUCAACAAUGGGGACAAGGCCAUUCUCCUGGCAGAUCAUUGCAUAUCUUGCCAACCCAUAUGCAUUUUCAUGGAUUGCCAACUCAGAUGGCUCAGUAGGGCCAAUCUUAAGCACAGCACGCCAUUUAGCAAACCGGGCACCAGCUGCAUAGUAUUUUGCACAUCGUUCACCAAGGCCAUCAAGACCCUGGGUGGUAGUUUCACCAUCAGUGCCAGUAAGCACAACUGUGCCCUUGUCUACUUUGAUUCCGGGAAGAACUCCACCUUCCUUCAUAACAUCCACAAAGGGUUUGCCUGAAAUUUAAAAAAGACAAUUUCAGUACAUCUGGAAUCUUAAGUUCCCAGGUGGGGGGAGAGGACCCACUCAAAUAAUGAAUUUUUUUUCUUCAAUUAUUUAGAGAAACAUAAAAAUAUCGCAGGUAUUAUACUCAAUUUCACAAAACUUGUGUGCAUUGGCAAAUAAUUUCAUCAUACUCCAUACAUAACAUAAUAAAAUAACUUAAUGAACAGAACUCACAGAAAUAUCACCCUACAUCUAAAAUCUCAACAGAUAAAAAUACAAUACCAGAGGCAGUCUUCUGAUAGAGAGUCUCCUCAAAGAGGAUCACUCCACUAAGGUACUGGAGGGCACCAGGAGUGCAGAAAAGGAGCUCACGGAGAGCACGCCUGUUUCCUUCAACAUUCUCGACAUUGAUGCUAGCUAGCCUCUUGCCAAUUGUGCCAGUUGACUCAUCAGCAGCAAGAAUACCCUUUCCAGGAGUGCCAAUGUAGGCAGCAUUGGCAAUAAGCUCGUCUACAAGGUGUAAAAUGUUAAUUAUUUUAUUUCCAUGCACAAUAUAAAUAAUAACAUUAAUGACAGAAAUUUAUGACCCCAAACACAAGCUUGGUUUGAGAGAAGACAUAAUAAAAUCACAGCAGGCAAUAGAAUAGAGGACAAAGUCACCCUAUUGCUUAUCGGGCAUAGGAAAUUAAUAGUAAACACGAAAUGAACCCACGCCACAUACAGUGAUCAAUUACAGCAUUGAUAGAUAACAGGUCAUUGAUAGACCAAGUUUACUAGACAAUUUCAUACAAACUAUUAUCAACAUUUGCUCACAAAUAAAUUCAUUUUAAUUCAAAAAACAGAUAGUUUGCUUUAUAUAAGCUUUGAAAUAAGGAUUAUGCAUGAUCCAUCCACAAAUGAUCUAAUACUAAUCCUUUAUUCCAGUUAAUGCAAGAUUUCCUAACAUUGAAUGCAAUUUUGAUAUAAAAAGUAUAAAUGAUAGUGUGAUACACAUAUUUUAAACUAAUCAUAUCAGGUUUUACAACACUAUUAUCUUAAAUCUUGCCACUAAUAUUGUAAAUCUGAAAUAUCUUUUGAGGUAUGAAUAAUAUAUCUCUCCUUACUACAUCUUAGCAUCUGGGAUCAAACAAAAACACAGAUACCCAAAUCCGUUUCGGCCUCUAUGUUCAAUAAUCACCCCCUUGGAAUUUUUGAGUAUUGAAAAUCCCAAAGCUAUUUUAAUUUGUUUUACUGUAAAUAUACAUGCAACUGAACCACCGUGUGCUCUUGUAGAGUUGUUAAAUACAAAUUCAUCUGAAACAACAGAUCGACCAAAAGGUUAACAAAGAACUGCGGAAAGUACCCUAAUAUCAUAGAUCUACAUUACCAGCAUACUAGAUUCAAAGAAAGAUGAUAACUUUUAUAUCUUUUUAAGUAGCAGUGACAGAGGAACAACAUUAAAAAAUAAAUUGGGAAAAAAAGACCAUGAAAGAAACCGAAAACAACAGAUUUGAAUGUUGGAAUUGAUAAUUGACAUCAGAUCCCAAUCUUAAAGAGAAUAAUAGACGAAAAAGCUCAGAUCUGAAGACAGAGAAACAGGGAAAAAGGACGAAGCACGGCAUAAAGAUCUAACAAAGAAAAAAAAAAGAGCUUAAUAAACAAGAGCAAGAAAGCAGAGAUUUUAGGGAAUUGAACUAUACCAUGGUAUUUUCCCUUGUAGCAAGUCAUGGAUGGAUGAUUAGAUUUAGAGAUUUGUAGAGAGAGUCGUUGUUAGAGAUAGAAGAGGCGACACAGAGACUGAAAAGUGAUGAUCGGUUAGGGUUUUAUUACAAGAGGGAGAGAGAGAGAGAAAGGGAAAGCGAGAGGGGCAUCGAGAUUUUCGCUAUGCGCGUGGUUUAUUUGGCUUUUUCAUCACGUAACCGGUAACAACCCAUGGGAUUGGCCUUGGAGACUACGACCUUCCACGGGCGGUUCCUCACUUCUUUUACGCUUUUGCCCCGCCAUCUACUGGGCCAGUGACGGUCUCGUAUUGGGCUUGAAACAUUUCUUUUUUUAAAAAUUCAUUCACUAACAAUAACGGAUAGUAUCACUCCCCUAAAGCAUUAUAUGAUCUCCUGUAUGACUAUAAGAUAUGGAAUUAGAUCCUGACAUGAAAUUAAUUAAAUCGUUUUGAAUCCAAUACGAUGAAAGCGGGGUUGGGCUCAAAGCUUGGCCCAAUAGAAAGCCGAAAUAGGAAAGGUCAAAUACGGUAAUCAAAACCUAAAGAAAACAAAGUGGGGACAUCCAGAAAAAGCGUAGGAAAACAAAACAAAAGGCGAAAACCACCUGCGAUGGAAUAGGUGGGUCAAAACAAGGGGUAAAAAGACAAAAAAAACCAGGGGCAUGGGAGGAGUAGGUGGAGAACGUAAAAACAGAGAGCGACGGCUUCACCGUGCGCUAGGGACCUUUAGGUUCCCAGCACCUUUCUUACGCCUGUGGUUUGUUCUCCUAUUCCCUCUUCUUCUUACCCUUGCUGACACGCUGCCACCUUCCUUUCCUCGUCUCCCUUUUCCAUUUCCACCACUUUUCUAAGCUAUCUUCGUAUUCUUUCCUCAAUCCUAUUUUUCAUUUUUUAUUUUUUAUUUUUAACUGACAAAUAUAAUAAAAAUAAGUUUAUAUUUUCUCCGUUUCUUUUUUAUACUGUGAAGACAUUAACGUUAAAAAUAAAAGGUAGGUGGAUCAAAAAUUCAAAAUUAAAAUUUAUGAAUGGAGGCGUGGUUGAGGCUGGCGGUUGGUGAGUUCUGCCCUGGGGGUCCGAUUUCAACAACUCACAAGUCAACCUAACAUUGUUAGGUACGCAGAACACUCGGCUCAGAUCUACUUUCAUGAUAUAAAAUAUAGUUGGGCAAUGGACAUCACUUUACAAUAGGUCAUCCUCUCACGCAUGUGACCAUAUUAAUAUUUCUUUUCUCAUCACAAAAUUAUAAUCAAUUUUCCACUCUCAGGCGCGUAUAUUAUUAUACGGCUUAAUGAAGAGGAAAAAAAUGAACACGGUGGACUGUCGUUUUAAUUUGAAUUUGACCUCCCUAUAAAAUUGGGGGAAUCAAUGCACAAACUCUUUGCCGGCAUUUCUUAUAUGUCACUUUGAUUUUUUAUAUAUAUGUAUAUAUCAAAGUCUUGAAAAAUAAUGGUAAUUUACUAUUUUUAAUGAUAAUUAACAGCUGGCAUGAAUUUUGAGACGUGGACAUGAUUUAUUUAUUCUUAAGAAAAGAAAGAGAAGUGGUGAUGAGAAUAAAUCCGCAAGUGGCAUGCAUUAUGCGUCUGGAAGAUAUAGACGUGAUUUGAUUUUGUGGCUUAGCCUGCUUUUGCGACCUGCCUUUUCAAAAUCUAUUAAGAAUUGAAUUGCUCCCUCUAGAUUAUAGCAUUAAUACUGCAGACAAUUAAGAGUGCGUUGGAUAGUAAUUUAAAAAAGUGUUUCUAAUUUUUUUUAACACUUAAAUUUUUUUAUUUUUCAAGUAUAAAAAAGUUAAAACUAAAAUCACAACCAAACGUAUUAUAAAUCAUUUGCUUUGGGGGUUAAUAUUUUUAAAAUAAAAAAUAAAAUUCAUGAUUAUAUUUAUUUCUUCAAACGUAGAGAGGAAAUAAAUUAAGAUUGCAUUGGAGUAGGGCUUUAGGACAAGUCGCUCUCAUUCAAACCUUAUCCUAUUUAUUAAAAAUAAUUUUCAUCAUUGUUCCAUUAAAAAAAAAAAUAAAUGGGAUGGGUAGCUGCCCUUCUCGUUAUAUUUUAAUUUUUUUAAUUACAUUAAAAUAAUUAUAUUUUAUAAAUAAUUAAUUUUAAAUUAAAUUAAUUUUAUAUAUGAUCAGGAUGUACACAAAGAGCUAGGUGAGAGAUAAGAUAAUACUUGAACUCAUCCCUAACCCAUAAUGGGUUUUCAAAAAAAUUUCACUCAUCCUAAACCCAUUUAAUCAAAUUUCAAACUCGUCUCAUUAGGAGUAGAGUGAGACGGGUACCCGAAAAAACUCAUUUUAUUACCAUCCCUGUUAAUAAAUGAAAAUAUUAAAAAAAUUAUUUUUUAUGGUUGAAUGUCAUUAUAAGAGAUAAAAAAAGAAAUGUGAAAAAAUUUUAAAAUAUUAAAAGAUUUAAAAUUGUGGAAAUUUUAUACAAUAAUUUAAGUUUCGUUUCCUUUAACCUUAUCAUGCUUCCUUUUUAUAUUCUAUUUUUUUCUCAAUCUUGUCAAAAACCAAUUAUAUUUUAUAAGAAAUAUUGGUGGUGCGGUGAUGGCGUGACAGUAACAAAAAACCACAUGAGGCAAAAGGCAAAGUCUUUUAAUGGAUUCACGUGGGUAAUUGAAAAGCAUGGAUCCAAUUAUAGAGAGCAGUCUGGUAGAUGAAUGAUUUCUCCAAGACUAAAGAUUGUUGUAGUCAUAGGCUUGUGGGUUGAUUCUUAAUCUAGAUCCAUUGAAUUAAAAUCACAUGGAACACUCAUUAAGCUUCCAGAACAAGGCUUAGCGUUGGCGAUUUCGACAUAAAUGUUUUUAAAUUUAUAAUAAUCAAAAAGGCAAUUUUUUUUUUUAUGUUUAAAUUUUUUUAUUAUAAAAAAUUAAUUAUUAUUAUUAUUAUUUUUAAAAUCUUUCUAGAGUUGAGGUGGCUAUGAGGUGGGAUGAUGGUUAUAUUUGGAUGAAUGAUUCUUAUGGACAAAGGAAAUUAAAAGAAUGAAGGUAUAUAAUAUUUUUUUGCUUUUAAUUAAAUUUUAAAAUCAAAUUAAAAUUAAUACUUACCAGUUACCACUUCCACAUAUUCCAUUUGGGCUUGCCAAACAAAUCAUACUUGAAUCUUUCUUGUGAAUAUCCAAUGAUUAAAAAAAAAUCACUAACAAUUAUAAAACAAAUUCCAUGAAUUUUUAUUUAUUUAUAUAAUAAUUAGAAAUAUUUUUUUAUUUUAAAAAGUAUUUGCCAAAUUAAAAUAUUAAAUGUAUCUAAUAAUUAUAAAAAAAAAUAAAUAUAUAUAUAUUCUCGGGUUUUUCUAUAUUUCGUGAAGGGCAUCUAUAUUUUGCACUCUUUGUUGUAUUAUAAUAUUUAUUAUUAAAAAAUUAUAAUUUCUCUUACGUUUAAUAAUAUUCAUAAUUAAAAUUUAUAAAUAAAAUUUUAAAUAAAAGAGAGACCUAUUAUAGGUUGAGGAUAUGUUGGGUCGGAUAAUGGCAUAUAAUAAAAAAAAUGAAAUUAAAAUAAUAAAUUAAAAGAAAUUGUUUUCCUAAUUUCAAAAUUCAAACUUUUAGAUUUCAUCAAUUCCCCAUUACAAUUAUAAGCUUGCUCAUGAUUUAAUAUUAAUAAGGCUUAUUAUAUCAAUUUUAAUGAAGGCGCCCACAGCCAAAGAUAGCCUGGGCCCAAUAGAUAUGACCCUCUACUUGUCGGCCCACUUGGCUACUGGGAAUGAUACGGAGGAUGACCAACUUAUUUAGAGUACGACUUAUUUAACAAGAGAAAAUAACAACCGCACAUUUGUUAACUCGUGUCCUUAAUAAUUGUUGUAUAAUGUCUACAUUUGUUAGAGAUGGCCAGCUACUUGUUGGGAAAAAGGGUUUCUUGAAUGUAAAGAUGGAAAAUAACUUCAAUGACGUGUUGUUGGUGAUACACAAAAUAGGUAUGUGAAGAUUGAGUAUUUUGUGAAGAAAGAAACUCAUCUCAACCCUACACCAAGAAAGAAGGUAUCUUCUAGGUACCACCGACUAAAGGGUACUUCCCUAAAUCACCACUAAAUUACUUAUAAGAUUGUACUGAUAGAACCGUAUUUUCUAAUUUGGAAUUUAGCCAAAAAGUCUGCAAACACCGUGAAGACCAAUUCCAUGCUUCCAAUUGUUAUAAUAAAUAAUGAUAUUUCUAAUUUUAUUAAGUCACGUAGAUAUAAUAUGAUAUAUGACAAAGAAAAUGAGAUAUCAUAUUUUAUUUUAUUUUAUGCUUUGAGUGAUAAGAUUAUAUAAGUUACAUCAUAAUCUAUCUUUAUCUUUAAUCAAACAAGGAAUAGAAUAACAUUUAUUUAGUCUCUUUUUUAUAUUUGAAUAUUUUAAUUUAAGGAUAUUAUAUCCCAUUAUAUCUUACCUAAUGAGAUAAAAUAUAUUUCAUCAAUCAAACAUAAUUUCUUGUUAUUAAUAAAUAAAAAUUAAUUCAAAACAAAUUAGAUACUCAUAUAUUUAUGUUUAAUUUUUAAAAUUUCAAAUAAAUUGUUUUUGAUAUUAUAUUAUUUAAAGUUGUUAAUAACAAAAUAUAUCUUUUAAAGAAAAUAUAUUCAUUCUUAUUAAAUGAAAUUAAAUAUUGCCUCCCACCCGAAUCUCUGCUCCGCCCUUGUAUGUAGCUACACCUACAUCCAAUAGUUUCAAAAGAGAUAUCAUAACCUAUGGCUUGUUUGAUCAUAGAACAUUCUGACCCAAAUUUCAUAGAUUUGGGCAAAGGUGGUGAAGAGCAGCCUAACUAUCACAUAUGGUGUGGGCUUGGAGGUGGGAGAAAGAGCUUCUGUUGAAGCUUGUUCUCCUACCACAUUCCCCUGCGCUUGGCCUGCUACCUUCGCAACAGGCCUUGCGCUACUACUGCAGGAUGUCCCAGAGGCCUGUAAUUUGACAAAUGAUGUUACCCUAAGUCUAUUCGACUAGUUGUUAAAGAGAUUUAGAAAGAGAAAUGAGACAAGGUUCGACAAGUGAAGUGGAGAUCUUGAAUCUUGAGAGACUCCCUGAGAAUUCAUGAGGGUUGUUGUCUUUGGGGGCUUGAGACGAUUUUUUCUCAAAUAUCCAAUUCAAAGAGGACGGUCUUUUUAUGCAUCGCUCUUCAGUUUUGGAGUAUUACAAAGUGGGUUUAGAAGCGUGAUCCGAAGCGAAUCAGGGAGUGUUGUUGAUGCAAGAGGCUUAAAUUGGGAGAGAUUUCGGAUUGUUUUGGUGAGACGUUGAGCUGCCUUGGACCAUGAUCAUUUGUGAAGGAUAUAGUAGGAAGAGUGGUGAUUCAAGAUUACUCUUGAAAUUAUUGAUUAUCUCUACCUUCUUACUAAAUAAUUUUUAGAUCUAAGUACAGUUGAUCAAACCAUGAUAAUCUCGUGUGUUUUUGUUUUGUAUUUUAAUUGGAUAAUCAUAUCGGAACUUGAACUUGAGGAAGAAAUCCAGGGGGCACAAAAUCAGAUGAAAUUGCAGUAUCAUCAUCCCAGAGUUCCAGGAUGUGAUAUGGGGAGCCAGAGUUAUGACUGUGAUUAAUUAAAUACAACUAAUUUUCCUCACACCUUAAAAGAAGUUAACAUGGAGAUUCAAAAGCCAAUUUAUCUGAGCCCCAAAAAUACAUUGCUUUCGACGAAAUUGACAGCAUGUAUGGAUGAAGAAAGAAAGCAUUUAGAAUAUCCACUUGCCGGUGUCCCCCCAGCACAGAUGGAAACCCUCAACCUCAAGUAACCUAAUGCACCUACAUGCUACGUGAACAUCAAUGUCAAACUAUUAUGAUAAUGUAUAAAAACAACAAAAAUAAGAUUCGGAUUGGUGGUGCUUUCAAGAAGCAAUUCUAUAAAAGACUUGGUUCCAAAUGCUUGAAAGACGCUUCAUUAAAUCAGUGUAAAAAAACUUUUAAGUAGCCUAUCCAGGUUGAAUAAAGCUGACCAAACCAGGGGACUUUAGAUUGGGCACCAGACAGGCAGACACAGUUACACUGCCAAUAGAGGAAAGAGCAAGAUUUACUGUACGGGCUUAGGAGGGGUUUAACAAUGGGGAGAAGAGUGAGGGGAAAAAAUGUCAAAUGAAAGGAAAAUUUUGAAUGUAGCCUCAUACUCGAAAGUCAGAACGAGGAAGGUUUUGCUUGAGAGAGAACAAUCUGAAUGAAUAGGGUUUAUGUACAGAGUAAAAUUUUUACAACUCAAAUUCAUUUUCUCCACUCCAGUUGAGCAUAUUUUCCUAUAAUUCAGAAAGCAAACAAUUUGCUUUUUCUAGAAAAGAAAAUUUAUAUAGAAUAGGGAAUUCAAAGAGAAGAAACUAAGAAUCAGUCAGGGUUCUUACAGGCACAGAUCAACAAGGAGAACUCGACCUUCUCUUGUUCCUUAUUCGUCAAAUUCUUCUCCUCCAACCAUAGCCUGCUGUCCAGUCCGCUCCUUGUCCUAAACAUGAAAACAGCAGAACCGGAUGAUGGAUUGAAGAACCAAUCAUGAACAUCCCACAUCAUAUCCACUAGCAAUCCAUCCACAAAGAUGGUCUGGUUUCCCCGAAAAUUCCACCUUAAUCGCUUUACCUGAAUUACCUUCUUGUUGUCCACGCAGACAGAUAAUACCGGAUUCCUAGACCCUUCAUCUUCUCCGCUACACUUGAUCAGAAUGUCAUGGGCUGUUCCAGUGUCACAGAAUUGAACCUUAGUCAAGUAGACGGCGUUACCAGAGAAAUGCUCGCUCCUGGAAACCAAGGAGAAUUUUGCAACAGGGAUUCCAUUUAUGAGUUUUUUCACAUGGGGUUCCACAUCCAUGUCUCCAAGGAGGAGACUAAGUUCCGAGUCAGCCAAAACUAUGACAUAAAACCCAUUGAUUGGUUCUGGUCCACUGUCAUACUGAGCCCUGGAAAGAUCCCAGAAGACUUCAAUUCUUGAGUCGCAUAAUUCGAAAGUCCUGGUGCCCCUAUUAUUUCGAAAUUGAUGAGAGACUGCAUUGGAUUCGAAAGAAGAGGAGAGGUCGUUGCUGAUUUUAAUGCUGAAGCCUUGUCCAACCAGGUUGUUGCACCAGUUGAGAGUGAUCAGGAGCUGCUUUUGAUUGGAGAGCCUAGCCUUGUAAAUACAUGUAACUGCCUUUUGGAUUGAAGGGAUGAGGCUUGGGGAGAGACAAGCCUGGUUUGAAGGGCCUGAACAGUAGGAGUCUGAAACUUUAAUGGCGUGUUCGCUGUAACAAGAUGCUAUGGUUCUCAUUUUAGAGAACUGCCAAGAAAAAGAAAAGGAAAAACAAAGAUUAAAUUGAGGAAGGGUACUUUUAAUAUAGAAUUGCAACAGUCAGCACAGGGGGGAGAAGAGAGAGAGAGAGAGAGAGAGAGAGAGAGAGAGAUACUUCUCUCCCUUGCCUUAGCUGGAAAAUUUUCAGAAACUCAAGGCUGGGGAAGAUGGGUGCUCUGUGUUUAUCCUAUGUGACCUGUCCCAUCAUUUUCUAACAUAAUUGUGGGAGCAAACAAGUAGAGACAAACUAAGGGAAAGAAAGGAAGCCCAAGUUCCUAGACAGCCCAUUUACAUUAAAUAGGAAUCCCCUUACCUUAAAAUUUAUUAUAUGAAUAUGGAAAGAAGAAGAGACCAAAUACCACUUUAUUCAGCUUCUUACGCUAGUUCACUCUGGUGUAUUCAAGAAACUAAACAAAAUAUUUAACAAAAAAACAAAGUUUGACCUGAUCUGAUUCCUCUUAUUAAAACUUAAUUGUCUUAGUUUGGUGAUUUCAUGAAUCUCUCUGAAGUAAUCAAAUAAACACACAUCUGCGAAAAGGGGAAGAGUUGGUAAAGAUUUGAUCAAAGGGUUUAACAAUUAAUCUAAGUACAUAACAACUAGUAUUAAAUUAAUAGGAGACAAGCAAAUGCCAAAAGUAGCCAGACAGUAAAUUUUGAAAGAUGCCAUGUCGAAGCGUGGAAUUGGACAACUUUAAAUGCUAUUAGAUGAAACAGGAUUGAGCUGACGAUGGUGAUGAAUUGUCGAUGGCGAGAGUUGGGGCCACAAAUUUAAAAUAGUCUGGAGAUCCACCAAUUGCAAGUCUAGAAGUUCAGAUUUUGAUAUAUCCCGACUCUAUAUAAAUUGUUUAUUCCAAUGUGUAAGAUUAAGACCUUGAACUCCUCAAAUAGUUGAAUACAAACAAUAAUACAGUUGUAGUUGAAGGCACAUUAAAUUCUGCUUGAACUUCCUUGGAAGAGCUCUGAGGAGAAGACUGAUCAGAGCCCCAACCCCACAGAGUGAGGAACCAUAUUUCACCCAUAUGAAAAUCCCUCUUAUAUUUCUGAUUUGGAUUAAAGUUUUAUACUGGAGAUGAGGUUUGGGGUAGGAGUGAAGCUGUUUCUGCAUGUGAAAUAUCCCCAUGUGUUUCUGAUUCACAUUAAAGGCAUGCACUGGGUGUGUCUGAUUUGGGGGGUUUGUGGAUAGGAGUGAAGCUGUUUUUCCAUGUGAAAAUUCCCAUAUAUUUCUGUAACGUAUUAAAUUUUUGCAAUGGGUUGUUUUCAGGGUUAGGGUAGGAGUGGAGUUGGUUGGAUUUUGGUGGAAGUCCUGCGCUGGAGAUUUCAGGGUUGGGGUAGGAGUGGAGUCGUUUAGUUAUUGGUUAGUCAAUGGGUGGGUUUGAAAUUUUCAAAUGAGUCUCAGUAUUCAUCUGGCCUCAAGCUCCCAUUUUGGAAGAAGAAUAACAUAAAAAAAACACCCAUGGACAGAUUUUAAUAAAUUGCAAUUGUCAAUGUUACCAUCACACCCCAGUUUAUAUUUAAAAUCUAUGACAAAAAUGAACCAAAGAACUGGUUAUGCUACACUUCCUUUUGUGCUUGAAGAACCUUUUUAGCUAGAAGGGGACAAGAAGAGUCAGGUUAACCGAGAGAGAAAAAGUUGAUGUACAUGUGAUUCGAAUCAGUAUCGUACAUCAAUGCACUGAUGUACAUGUUUUUUGAUGGACCUUCACUUGGUUGAUAAAGAAGUAGCACGGUGGGGUUCAGUAGUUUUGAUUCUUUUCAGCUAUGUCUAUACAUAAUGUUUAGGCUGCAAAACAGGGUAGGUCUAAAUUGAGUUUACACAAUAAACCAGAAUUUGCAGUAAAAUUGGGCAUUGGUGAAGGGAAUCCUCAGUAUUGAAGAAGCAAAAACUCUAACCCGCAAGAAUUGCCCCCCCAUAGCAACCCCCCAAAUACAUCUAACUAUCAACAAGUCCAGUUUUCUGCAUUUUGAAAAUAUUUCAAGGUGUGGUGCGAUAUGCCUCUUAACUAAAAUUGAUCAGAAGCAUCAGUUUGAUGCGUUUCAAGGCAAUGAUUGUUCAUUGAACCGGUCAUGAGCAGGGAAGACAAUAAAUGAGAAAAAGGUAUCCUAUUAUGUCUAACAAUCUGUGUGAUCCAAAUAUUCAUAUAAUCACAUAUCACUAAUGAUCCUACAGUCUGAGGCAAAAUAAACAUACACUUCUAUAAUCAUAGAAUGAUGUACCAGUUACUACUAGGAGUUCUAUUUUUUUGGUUCCCAAGUUUUUAAAGCAGUCUUUUUCUAUUUAGGGCUACUUAGUGCACAACCUCAAAUGAACAAAAACCGAAAUAAUCCAAGCAAUUACCUAAUCACCCGUAUAUACAUUGCUUAUGAUAAUAUAAAUAAGAAAUAGAAGCCAACUAAGGAUAUUCUUUACUUAUGAAACCUCUGUCAUCCUCACAAGCUAAGAAGCAUUCUUUCUUUUGCAUAACAAUCUGUUUUAAGGUGGGAAUGGCCCACUCCAAUAAAUCUUCAAGCAAACAAUCAUAACAAUUUAACCUAAGGGAAUUUUAGGCAGAAAGACUUCCUCAGCCAGCUCACAGAUUUUUGUUCUUUCAGAAGUUGGAAUUUAUUCUUACAUGAUACAAGUAGUUAUCAUACUUUUGGCAAGUUGCAACAGCAUAACAUGCAAAUCAAAUAAAUUCCAAAUGCCAAAUCAAAAUACUAGAAGAUAAACUAAUGGACAAACAAAGUGAUGACUCCCACAGUGGAGAAAGAGUGAGAUUCACAUAUUUUUUAACUGAAUACUCCUAUGAUGCUGCUGCUAUAAUUAUCGAACUUCCAGAUUUGGAGAUAGAAUGCAGCUCCAAAAAUCUUUAGAACAGUGGAUUUUAAGAAUUUUUACUUGUGCCACAGCAAGAAAACUCCCUUUGUUUCAAUGUAAGUCAUUUGUAGACAGAACUCGUGUUUUAGUAGGUUGCCCCAUUAAGCAAAUUAGUUCAACUUCACGUGAUGGAGACUCUCAUCUAUAAAAUCUGUGUGGUCCGCCUAAGUUCUCUACCUCAAGAAAUGGUAAACCACUAUGAAUAUUGGUUAAUUAAAAAUUUAGAAUUAAUUACCAAAAUAGUAUAUAAACUACGUUGCACAAACGGAUAUCCAACAAUGAAUAUAUUUUUUCGGUAGUAUUUUAAAACGUGAAGGACUUUGUGGAGUGGUAGGUUUGGCAUGGGCCAACCAAUGGUCUUUUAUGUAUAUUAAAAAAAGCUUCCUCACCAUAUUAAGGGAAUAAAUAGAAAUGUUAAACGUAGAAGCUGCCACUUUCUCAAGUGAUCUCCAUGGCUAGAAAUUGAAAAGGUUAUAUGUGAUCCAGAAAGGAACUCAAUAUAGCUUUGGAAUUAGCACUAAUGACACAAAACAAAAGCAGUGAGUGAUUCCUAGCAGCAUCUCUAAUGCAUUAGGCAAUCAGCAAGUUGAUUGUUCUCCCUAAAAGUAUGCUUAAAGGUACUUGCUCUCCACUCUGCCAUUACCUUUCAAUACAAGAUUGUACAUUUGAAUAAAGCUAUUGGAUUUGUGAACCCCAUCCGAGAGAUAAGAACUUCAGUGUUACGACCCAUCAAUCAUAGGGUGUGGAAGUUUUAUCCACCUAACUCCUUUUCCUCCCCUGUUCCCAUUCAAGGAAAAGCCACACAUUCUCACAACUAUAAUGCCCACAAGAAAUCAGGGAAAAGGGACAUCUUUAUGGUGUCUAAUUGCCGGAAGACUGCUUCCAGAUAAGAAAACGACUUCCUUUUCUUGAAGGAAAAUUAGACAGAUUCCAAAACGUUGAGUCAACUUCAAAAGAAUAAAGAAAUAAACAAAAUGGGGUGGCGUGGUGCUCUCCACCAUCUACCUUCUGGUAAUAUGAAUAUCCCCAGAGCCACAUGAGGGGGCAAACCCACUAGAUACGCCAACUAGGAACCUCUAAAAUACCAUGUUAAGCAAUUAUAUGCACUCAAUGAUGAUGAUCAUGGCACAAGUCAACUUGCAGAACCAAAAAAUGAUUGUGACACCAACAACACCUUCCUUAAUCCAGAACAAACAGUUUGAUCUAUCCCAGUGAAAACCGAUUGUAGAUCAUAUAACAAUUCCCAUAGCUCAGAGUCACUGUAUAAUGAACUGUGGUAUCUAUGCGUUGGCUGGCUGACAUUUACAAUCAUUUUGGCAUACAAAAUCUGAGCCCAAGGAGGGCAUAAUCCAGGAUAAGUAAAUUACUCAAUCUAUGCUUCCAAUAGCUUCUCUUGUAGGUCUCUGCUCAGGGACCCUUGUGGGAGAAACUAGCAUGCAACAGGGGUGGGUCCCCUGGAAGAGUUGAAGCAACCACCCACAAAGCAAGAUCCUUCAGAAAAAGCAAACAAAAAAUGUUAUUCCAACCUCAUAGCCAGGGCCAUGUUUAUUCUUCCCCGUUCUGCAGAAGACUCUCACAUUCUCCCACACUUCUUAAGUUGUAGGAAUAAUUCUUGCAACUAGGAGCAUUAUGACAACAUCCUUUUAUCAUUCCAAAGAUUUGUUGACAACUAUCACUCAUGCUCAAGGACCAUGAUUUCUCCCACAAGGUUUUUCUGGUCUGGAAAAUAAACAUUAAUCUCUUAAACCCCUGGAGAGCUCAAAUGGCCAUGUUCCCCCUACCCUUUCUUUUUUUUUUUUUAAUGUAGUUUACAUGGCUCCAGAACUAAAUCUACCAUUAAAAGAAACGAGGAUUUCAAUAACAGUAAUUGUGGAUUGGUGACUUCUUUUCUUAAGGGGAGAGUUGGAUACCUUGAUCUCUAUGUUUUGGCAUUUGUCGGCUAAGCUAAUUCCAGUACAAUCUACAGUAACAAGUUUUGCUGGCCCCACAAUCCUCACCUAUAAUAGAUCCUAAACAAUUUUAAUUUGGAGGAUUAAGAGGGGGAAGUAAUACAAGAUGAAAAACUUUAGAAAUCAAUUUGGAGGAUCCAAUGGACUUCAAGUAGUUGAUGUCUCACUAUUUCAUGCAAUGUGUCUACCAAUCUAAUGACAAGCUUGUUCUUGAGCCUUCAAAGUGAAUAGGCAUGGGUCCAAAUCAAAACUAAGGAUGACCCAUAUGGAAAACCUUGCAAGCAAACCAGGUUUCAGUGGAGGCAAAAAGUCACUGCAUUCUUACUGGAGUGCAACAUAAUUACCAUAAACUAUUUGAGUGUGACAUGCCGACUCCAUUGAUGAGAGGUCUGUGACAAUGCAGUUAGUGCAGGAGAUGAUGAGAUCCAAACACAUGAUGGAAUACCCAUGAGAUAGUACUUGUUUCAAGAAUUCUACCUAUGCUUCAAACCUUGGUGCGGAAAAGCCAGGCAGACUUGUUUUUGGUCCUUACUUGUACACACAGCCAAUCAAGCUGAAAACUUGCUGGCUAACUCGGGAUGCUGAUUUGAAAUGGACAAAAAAGACAAAAAUUUCUUCAAGGGCUGACGAGAAUUAUUAUAUGAUGGUUGUAGAUGAAGCAUUGUCGGGGUGUGCCCCCCUCAGUAUCCCUUUCAAUAAAAGAAGAAACUUACACUCCAACUACUAUAGAAGCUAAUCCAUAUAAAAGAAUUAAUUAUAAAAAUAAAUAAAUAAAUAAAUAAAUAAAUAAUCCUGAAGAUGUAAUUCAUCCAUCAAACUUGAGUUAUAGUGUGGGUCAACUAACCCACCUGUUCAACUAAUUCAAGGGGCUUAUAAAAUCAUUAACCGGAUCACUGAAUUGAUGAUGACCAAUUUGUAGCUCGGAUGCAGAUUAAGGAAGUUGGGUUCAGGCAUUGUCUUUGUAUCACACCCUACAGCAGUCUUAAGACUUGUUCAAAUCAGAAAGGAAUGGGCCUCCAGCAGUCACAACCAAGCUUAGUGGGGCAAGUAACACUACUUUUCAGAGGACUCUAAGCUCUCAUAAAAAGUCUAAAAAGUCCUAAGAAAUGCUUAAAAAUUGCUUAAAUGGUGCAAUUUUUAAAAGAUUCAUUUUGUGCCAUGGGUGAGAAUUGCUUAAAAAUAAUAAAGGGAAUAAAUACCUCUUUCAUAGAGCCCAAAUGGUGCAACCAUUUUGGUGGCAUCACUGGAAAAUGGAGGAACAAAGACGGACCCCUUUUUGGCUUCUUCACUCUCGGAGGAUCGAAAUCUCAUCCAAACCAAAUUCUAAAACAUGGCACUAAUAUGUACCUGUUAGACAAUAAAUAUGUUUAACACCAAUGUCAGCCAUGUAACCCAGUUUGUAUGAGGGCUGGAAAUUCAGAUUUUUGAGUGAAAUAAGAUCUUUGAUUUUGUAUUUCUUCUUUUGCCUUUUGUUUCUUCCUUAGGCUGGUUAUCGUGGCCCCAUAAUUAGUGGAUUUCUUGCGACAUUCCUGGAAAUUGUAAUUUUUAAAGAAAAAAGAAUCAAAUAAAAAAAGGGAAAUCAGACAUUUUUGAGAAGUUUCAGCCGUGGAUUUAACCAUGGAGGGAUCUUCCGAUGGACUAUUGCUGGAAAAUUUUCAAUGCUGGAAAUCUAAUAUUCAUAACUUACCUGAUUUGGGCACCGUUUUCAUUCAAGAUGAUUAUGCAAACCUGAGAAACUGUCCCAUGCCUUCCUUUUGAGUUUGUAUCAGGUACAACUCUCCUUCAUCUUCUGUGAUACGGUUAAAAAUAGGUCAAUUAUUUUAUUUUAAAAAAAAUUAAAUUAGUAUUAUUUAUUUAAUUCAAAAUUUAGUAAGGUCAAGAGAUUUCAUAUAAAAUCAAUUAUUUUGUGGCUUUUUUUACCUCUGCAAAGUUUCUAAAAAACUCAUAAAUAUUGUGUGAUUGAUUGUAAUUAUGUGCGAAAUUAAUGGAUUUUUACUUCUGAAUAGUUAGUUGAUCAACACAAAACUUUCGGUAAGUGUGUAAAAAUAGUUUGAAGUGAUAUAGAAUAUGAAAAUAUACAUCAAAUUAAUAAAUAAGAUUAGCAAUAAUAAUAUUAUAGGUGUGCAGAAAAUAUUUACGGUUUGAUUCAGUUUAUUAUUGAUUCCUUUUAAAUAGAAAGCUUUGAAUCAAUUAAAUUAAAUUUUUUUAGAAACAUUUUGCCCACCCCAAGCUUUUUAUUUCUUUUUAUUUUUUCUUUCCUUUAAACUUUCUAAAAGCCAACCAUAGCAGUUGGAAUUUCUCUUUCAAGUAAUCCACGCACGGUUUAUCACAUCUAUGUAUAUACACACACGGACAUGGGCACAUCGGAAGACAUGAAUGAAGGGUUUGCCAUAAAUAUUGAGGAUUGGUGUGUAUGGUUGCAGAGAAUGGACUUGCAGAUCAUGUUCUGAAUCCACGGGUUUACUGCUUUAUACACUUCGUGGAUUGGGCCCAUGUCUCUUUAAGUGGUGAGUUUUUGGGACUUCCAUUUUCAAUUGUUGCCCUCGACUCUAUAUGGUAGGCAGAGGGGAGGACAUUAGCCUAUAAAUGCUUGAAAGCUUCUAAGCGUAGACACCCUAGGAGAACCAGAGAGAAGGCAGCACAUCCUUCAAAAGGUCUAUCAUGAGUAAUAAAAACCACCACCAGCACAACAACUUUCUCUGGUUUGUAAAUGAAACUAAGUAAUGAAAAAUGGUUCUGAGAUACAGGUUUCUUCUCCAGUCCCAAGCAAAACUUCUGCUUCCACACACUAUGCUUUAUAAUAAGCCGCCAAUUUAAAACCACACGGUGGAUGAUAGCUAAAUGGAGCAACAACACAGAGACCACUGGAAUCAUUCUUCCAUGGGGUGAUUCUCCUCGGCCUGAGGUCGAGAUACCUUGACUUUGAUUUUUGGGAGGGUAAGAGAUGGCUCCUUUUCGAGAACAGCUGGAGCUUUGACCAUGUGGAUGCCCUGCUCCAGUUCCUUUGCUGCCUCCCUUUGCUCCUUGGCUUUCUUUCCCUUCAUCCUGCCAGAAAUUUUCAUUGACACUUCAGUAUGAAGCAAAAAUAAUCUUACACUAAUGAUGAGGCAAAUAUGAAGAACCUGAGCGCAUGGUGUCUGGCCUCCCUAUCUACUCUAACUUUGUCAAUCUUCUUAAUUGCCUUUAGAGUGUUCUCUGCAAGAUUCCUGUCAUAUCUCUCUGGCCUAUUCCGCUUUCUCUCAAACUCAAAGGUUGAAUCCUAGAAAAUAUGAAAAGAAGCAAAGAAAAGAACAGAUCACCACCCAGUUUUAUGGCAAUGCAGUGGUAACUGCUGAGGAAGAUCAAAAGAGAAAAUAACCAUAAUGAACCAUAUUUACCUGUGUCAUAUCCUUUCCAUGCAACCGCCUGUAGGCCUUUGUCCAUUUUACUUUACGAGGAUUCCUCUUCAUCUUGAAGUUCUUGUGGCAUUUAGAUCUACAGAACCGAAAAAUC
RNAcentral lists this long non-coding RNA (17934 nucleotides) under Vitis vinifera (wine grape). RNAcentral's name for it is "long non-coding RNA (VVIN_LNC002611)". The record is from RNAcentral. Lineage: Eukaryota; Viridiplantae; Streptophyta; Magnoliopsida; Vitales; Vitaceae.